GGGCCCGUCCGUCCCCCGUCGGCACCGCGCCAUCAUCCGCAGUCGCCGUUCGGACGGGAGCCAGCUGGGAACGCGGUCGUCUCUCUGUCGCUCUGUGCGUUCGUCGAUUAAAUGUUUCCCGUUCGUUUCUCGGCGCUUCUGCCCGCGGUCGUUUCUGCAGCUCCAGUAACCCACCCCGUCCCCGUGCCCUCCGCCGGGUAAGGACGGGGCGGCGCAAACGGAAGAGAUUAAGACUGGCUGCACAGUUUUGAAAACCCUGCUCUGCAGGGCAGCUGCACUAUAAUGUCCUGCUGACACGAAUCCUGAACUUGUCUGCCCUCAGAAAGUCUUCCUGGAUGUUCCUAGAAGGUUGCUAAUAUUCCUGGCGCUGUUGGCCUAGCUGAAAACUCCCACUAGCUUAGCAAGACUGUCUUCUUAUUUUCCAUAUGAAAGAGCUGGAUUAGUAUUUUUCUUGCUCUCUUUUUUGGAUUUUUCUAACAAUCUCAAAAUCCUGUGAAUCAUGGCUUCCUCACAGCUUUCACACCUGUUCAGUGACUCUGUGUAUUUAUGCAUUUAUACAUGAAAUGGGCUUUAUUUGUUUCUGCAAUGUUGUUUUCACCUAACAUAUGUUUUAGUCUGGGAGUUAAAUCUGAGUUGUUUAUUUACUGCUAUGAUAAUGCUGAGGAUCUGCUCGAGGCACUGCAGCAGUGCAGUGCACACUUAUGCUCUCAAAUUCCAGGGCCCCCAUCCCAAGUGAUAAUGCAGAUAAUCUGGGGCCUUCUUAAAUUCCAGCACCUUUCAGAGGCUGGCUUACCCACAGCAUGCUCUGCACACCACUGUUUAGAUAUGCACACAAAAAAGCUGGGCAUCUGCAAGGCUGAAAACGAGUCUUUCGGUGCUUAUUAAUUUUGCUCCAGGCCUUUUACAUUAGUAAAGUAUUCAGAAGGAAGGGCCAAAAUACAAAGCUGCCACCACUUUCUCUAAUUAAUGCAUGCGAAGCUUCACAUCUCUAAUUACUGAGCAGUGUGUGCUGUGCAAAUAAAAAGCCCAGAGUCCAGAGGAUGUGUAAGGAACUCCGAGCUCUGCACUCCCUGUGCACGUGCAGUCUGGCAAAAUAAACUUCUGGCAUUCGCUGUUCAGAAGUGCAGUGUGCCUGAAGCAAAGUCCUUGCAAUUCACUUCUAUUCAGCGAAGGAUUCUUCACCUAUUUGAACAACUUGAAACAUUUUAGAGUCGUGGAACACUUUUGAAAAAGGAAGGUCUUUCACAUUGAUAUUCAUGCCUAUUUAGAUUAUCGAUUUUCCACCCAAGCUCAGCUAUUGAUGGUUAUGCCUGAGUAAGCCAUAAAAAUCAGGUCUUUACUGGAGACAUCCCAUGCCAAAUAUUGUUGCUGUGCUGUUUUUAUUUUCUAUAGGUAGGAUGCCGCUGCAUUUACAGUGCAAUCAAAUGAGAAUGUGACAGAGACUCUGUAAGUGGUGGAUUUUGCUUCCUUUCUAAAUGUUUCAUAAUCAGCCUGAAGUGCAUUGCCAAACACUUCAUUCCAAGAGCUCAUCUUAAUUGCUGCAUGGAAUCUUAUUACAUGUCCUUGCUGUGAUCCAUCGGUGCCACAGAACAAAUAAAUUUCUGUUAGGUGCUGGCAACCAUUGAUUCUUAUUUUGGUUGCAGGGAUCAAAAUUUUUCACAGUUAAAGGGACAGAAUCACCACGUGCUCCAGAAGAGCUGAAGUGAAUGAACAUCGAGGCAUGUGAGUGGCUGAGAAAUGGAGUUGGGGCUCAGGGGAGCAAUUGAGCAAUGGGUGCCUGUGUCACAACCUUCCUGAGCGGCCCUUGCAAGCUCCUGCUCCCCUCGCCUGCAAGCAGAGCAAUGCUCAAGUUGGAGGAAUCUUUUCCUCGGCAGGCGGUAAAAGACAACGCAGCUGCAAGUUUCGUGUCCUUCGUUGUCAUUGGAAAGCAGCCUCCUUGAGAGCAGGAGAGCAGCAGGCUGCCUGCUGUGUGGUGCUGAAGGGCAUUUCUCCCAGCUGAGAUCCCCGAGCCCACGCUGGCGGAGAACGUGCUGUGCCACCAUCUCUUCUGUGGAGCCACUUUGCAGCUGCUCUGUGCGCUGGCCGUAAUCGUGCCAGUUUCCAGGUGCCAUAAGCCAGUAAGUUGUGCUCUCUGAGGCUGAUAGAAAGGCAUGGGCAAUGGGCAGGGAGGGAACAAUCUGUAGCUGUGGCCUACGGUGCUGUGCCCAGCACUGCUGAGAGUGCCGUCGUUUGUCCUGCCCUUCCUUCCGUGUGCGCGUGUUCCUGAUGCACACCAGGAGCCUUGGGGUGCAAGCUCUGCUGCUGCUGCUGCUGUGCUGUGUGUGCUGCCAGGCAGUGUCCAAGCCCUGUGCAGGCGCUGCCUUGCAGGAGAUGGCUUUGGGUUCGAGUUCGUAUGGGACUUUUGGGAAGGAGAUUGAGGUGGAGUUUCUGGCGUGCCCUGAUGCCAGGAAGGCGGUUUCCAGUGCUGGCAGCCACAGCUGUCCGGGCGGUGACUUGAGCUCCCCAAGCGAGCUGUCAGCCACUUGUUACCUGUGAAGGUUCCCUGACCGUUUGUGCCUUGAUUCUUGUAGGACUGGCACAGUCUUGACACUCAGUCUGGCGAGACAGUGAAGAAAGCCAAGGCAAGUGCUGCUCAGCUGAGGAAGGAAGCCCAGAAGGAGAGCAAAAAGAAGUGAGAAGGGCUUGAGCGAGAAGGCCCACAGGAUACUGGAAUCAGCUGGAAUGCUUCCUCGGCGAUGGCACCAAAGGCAGCGGACUGAGUCAGCGUCCGGUUUUCUGGCAUGACCGUGCUUUCCCUGUCACGGGCAGUGCAGUGGAACUGAGGCACCUGGAAGGGAAGGGCUUGUGCUGCAUUCCAAGCAAAGAGGGCUUGCCAGAGGCAGGUCUUCAUCUAUGGCAAGAGAUGGAGAGGCUGUGUUUCUUCAGGCUGUGUCUCUUCAGGGCCAGGGCCGGUCUAGUAUGAGAUUGAAGUACGGCUAGCCGGGCCUGGAGAGAGAGGAGCUGACAUAGCCACAGGGUCAGGCUUCUCCUCGUGUCUGCCUGGAGGCUGAAUGACUCAUUGCUAAGCAGAAACCCUGGACGCUGGGGUUUCAUUUUGGGCUGUGUUGAUAAAUACAAUCCAGAGCCUUUUGUUUUGAAUAAAAAUGAA
This is a long non-coding RNA of Tympanuchus pallidicinctus (lesser prairie-chicken), 3148 nucleotides long. RefSeq lists it as uncharacterized. NCBI's taxonomy places the organism in Eukaryota, Metazoa, Chordata, Aves, Galliformes, Phasianidae. The record is from RefSeq and is a predicted model, not a curated record. The transcript is spliced from 5 exons.